This 1114-nucleotide long non-coding RNA is filed under the name Callithrix jacchus (white-tufted-ear marmoset). RNAcentral's name for it is "lncRNA (ENSCJAG00000071065.1)". Lineage: Eukaryota; Metazoa; Chordata; Mammalia; Primates; Cebidae. The record is from RNAcentral.
AGGAUUCCAAAUGAAUGAGAAGUUAGUUAGAAACAAACUGUGCUCUUCCCAUCUCUUGGAGAACAGCCCUAGGGAGAUGGAAGCCCACGAUGCCAUUCAGAUGGAGCAGCUUAAUGGGGCUCUGCUGCACCUGAAGUCAGAGCUGGCCCGGACUCUGGCAGAGGGGCAGUACCAAACCUAGGAGUAUGAGAAGCCCCUGCUGAACAUCAAAGUCAAACUGUCAGCUGAAAUUGCCACCUUACUACUGCCUGUUGGAAGAUGAAAAGGACUUCUAUCCCUAUGAUGCCCUGGAUAGCAGGAAUUGAAUGCAAACUAUCCAAAAGACCUGCAGGAUAGUAGACAACAAUUAGCAUCUGAGACCAAUGACUCUAAAGUUCUGAGGUGUUGAAGCAGCAAAAGCAAGGUACCCUUUGGGUAACAGGAGACCAAUAAAAAGUUCAGGGGUCAAAAAAAAUUGAACAGCAGUUUUGGUCACCAAAUGUCAGGAGUUUUAGAUUUAACUCUAUGUCAAAUAACAGGAUUGAUAGGGAAUCUAACUAAUUUUUCAAACAUUAUAUCAUUGGGAAAUAUAUUCCAUGCUUUAAACAGCUCACCAAAACUGUCUUUGGAAUAAAAUAUAUUAUUGGUUUUAAACUGAUUACAGUAAAAACAACUGGCAACUUCACACAAUCUUCUAUCAAUCCUAGAAGUGCAUUCUCUGUGCAGAAGAUAUCUCAGUUUAGUUGAUACACUGAGCUAUACAGAAUGAUAGAUCUGUUUGAAAUUCUAUGAUCCAUCCUAAGUAGAAAAUUUUGUAGUCAUGUCAGGUAUAAGAGUUAUGACAUGCCACAAAUAUUUGUUUAUCAUAGAAAACUUAAACAUAGGGAGGAGGUAUAUAACUUUUCUGGUCCUAUUUAAUCUCACUGAAUUAGUAUGUUUUAUGUUUCAAUAGCAAAUGUAUACUGAAAAGGCAGAGAAACAUUAAAAUAACAGCAAAAAUACAGAAAUAAUAUUUCAUUAUCUGGACUCUGUUAGUUCAUAAUUUUCUCUAUGCAUUUUAAAAAGGGGAGAAAAGUAAUUAUGAUAAAAUAUAUGUUUUUAUUAUAUAUCACUAACUUUUACUCCAACAGAAGGA